UACGUAGGGUGCGAGCGUUGUCCGGAAUUAUUGGGCGUAAAGGGCUCGUAGGCGGUCUGUCACGUCGGGUGUGAAAACUCGGGGCUUAACCCCGAGCCUGCUUCCGAUACGGGCAGACUAGAGGUAUGCAGGGGAGAACGGAAUUCCUGGUGUAGCGGUGAAAUGCGCAGAUAUCAGGAGGAACACCGGUGGCGAAGGCGGUUCGCUGGGCAUUACCUGACGCUGAGGAGCGAAAGUGUGGGGAGCGAACAGG
RNAcentral lists this ribosomal RNA (253 nucleotides) under uncultured bacterium. RNAcentral describes it as "partial 16S ribosomal RNA". It matches the Rfam family "Bacterial small subunit ribosomal RNA", at positions 524 to 776 of the family's 1533-position model. The record is from RNAcentral.